This 253-nucleotide ribosomal RNA is filed under the name uncultured bacterium. RNAcentral describes it as "partial 16S ribosomal RNA". It matches the Rfam family "Bacterial small subunit ribosomal RNA", at positions 524 to 776 of the family's 1533-position model. The record is from RNAcentral.
UACGUAGGGCGCAAGCGUUGUCCGGAAUUAUUGGGCGUAAAGAGCUCGUAGGCGGUCUGUUACGUCCGCUGUGAAAACCCGGGGCUUAACCCUGGGCUGGCAGUGGAUACGGGUAGACUAGAGGCAGGUAGGGGAGAAUGGAAUUCCCGGUGUAGCGGUGAAAUGCGCAGAUAUCGGGAGGAACACCGGUGGCGAAGGCGGCGUCCUGGACCAACACUGACACUGAUGAGCGAAAGCCAGGGGAGCAAACGGG